CCUACGGGAGGCAGCAGUGAGGAAUAUUGGACAAUGGGCGCAAGCCUGAUCCAGCCAUGCCGCGUGCAGGAAGACGGUCCUAUGGAUUGUAAACUGCUUUUGUACAGGAAGAAACACUCCCUCGUGAGGGAGCUUGACGGUACUGUAAGAAUAAGGAUCGGCUAACUCCGUGCCAGCAGCCGCGGUAAUACGGAGGAUCCAAGCGUUAUCCGGAAUCAUUGGGUUUAAAGGGUCCGUAGGCGGUUUAAUAAGUCAGUGGUGAAAUCUGGUCGCUCAACGAUCAAACGGCCAUUGAUACUGUUAGACUUGAAUUAUUAGGAAGUAACUAGAAUAUGUAGUGUAGCGGUGAAAUGCUUAGAUAUUACAUGGAAUACCAAUUGCGAAGGCAGGUUACUACUAAUGGAUUGACGCUGAUGGACGAAAGCGUGGGGAGCGAACAGGAUUAGAUACCCUGGUAGUCCACGCCGUAAACGAUGGAUACUAGCUGUUCGGAGCAAUCUGAGUGGCUAAGCGAAAGUGAUAAGUAUCCACCUGGGGAGUACGUUCGCAAGAAUUGAAACUUCAAAUGAAUUGACGG
Molecule: ribosomal RNA, 577 nt
Filed under: uncultured bacterium
Lineage: Bacteria
Description: bacterial SSU rRNA
Rfam family: Bacterial small subunit ribosomal RNA
Source: RNAcentral